GGUACUUAAAAGUUAACUCAUUAGUAUCACAAAGGUCAAGGAUUGAUUGGACCAGGCAAGAGCCAUGUUUUUGACAAGGUUCUGGAUCGCUGACUCCAACUUGACUAACAUUUAGUAAGAACAUGCUUACACGCCACAGUGAAAGGGGACGGGGAUGUGUUAAGCGGGAACAGAAGAUGGGCAGAAGAGGCAUUAAAAAUGCAUACCACGAAUUUAGAACAAAAGCUGUGGGCCAGAAAAGCAAUUGGCUAAAAAAUGAAUAAUACCACUUCUAAUGUAACUAAGCAUCUCCACUAUGGUGUGUGCCUUUUAUAAAGGAAAAGAGAGAAAAGCAAAGCAAGGUUGUGGCCUUAGGUCGGAUCUGGAAUAUCCCUGCUUAUUGCCUGUAAUAGAAUAUGUGACACUGUGGGUGAAAUGUUGUACACACCACACACUAGGCCAUUUUCAGAUCAGCAGUCACCCAUCUCUUAGCAUAGACAUCCCAAAACCUCCAGCCUGGGUAUACCACAAGCUUCAGCCAUUCAGGAAUCUGCCCUGUGCUUUGCAUAUCUGUAUAGCAAAUCAUCAGGUCAAUCCCCCAUCCUCAUACCCUCUCAUCUCUGAGGAGCUGUGAACAGAUUUUGCUCUAAUGAUCCUCCAGCCUCAUCCAAUGUUCCCUAAAGACUGAUAUAAGUAACCUCCCCUCUGCUUAGGCAUCUCUGUCUCAGCAUAUGAUGUUUAGGUAGCAAGGGACAGGAAUAUGGGAACUGUAGAACUUCAGUUCUCAAAUGUCAAUAUAGAUAAGAGUCGUCUAGUACAGAACUUAUCAGAGCGCUGAUUGCCAAGACCCUUUUCCAGAGAUUAUGGGGUCAGGGGUGGAAGUCUAGAGGUAGGCUCAGAAACCUACUGUUAACCAACACCCCCAGGUGACUGACAUGGGUGGUCCAACAAUUACUCUUCUAGAAACACCAUUCUGGAAGUUUGGCUGCCCACAAGCAUGAGGAGAAGCAUGAAGAGAAACCCUGUUUGAAAGUUGUUGUUUUUUUUAUAUAACUUCAGCACACAUCUGCUGAUUCUCCUUCCACAUCCUCACCCCCACCCCUGGGUACCAUUUAGGACAAGACUUCCUUAAUUACUUGCUUUAUCUUCUCAGGACUCAUUGUUCCACCCCCCAAUCAAUUUGAAUGCCUACAGUGAGUUCAGGAGCUGUGCCAAGCACUUUCCUCUUUUACAGCUGCAGAUCAUUGGAAAGGUGGCUCAAUCACAAAACUUCUCCCCCUACUAUUGGAUGAAAUGUCUGCAUUUCCACCAAAAGCUACCCAGUCCCCCAGGGAAAGGUAACAACUUAAGCUGUAGUUAGGUAACACCUAGUGAUUCAUUGGCUGAGAAAACCCGGGAGUGGAGGUACACUCAAACAUCCUGAUAUGGAUGUGGGAGGGCUCUAAAGUCAGAGGUCACCAGCCCCACAGAUGAAACAGUUCAAUGAGGAAACAGGUGAGCCCUGAAAACAGAAAAGGACAAUUCUGUGUUGAAAUACCCCAUCCCCUCACAUUCUCACCCCAGGCCCAGAGGUAGGUUUGCAGCCGUCUUUGGAAGAUUUUGCCCCUCAGCCAUCCCUACCCACUUGCAACACUAAGGAUGCUGGAGACUCUGCCACUAUGCUGUGUGUGCCCCUGAACCUCUGUGCAGCCCAGAAGGCUGAUGUACAGGUGUACCUCAGUUCACAUUAUAGCCAUGCUCCUACUGUACAUGGACAUUUUUGUAACUCAGCUCAUAUUCUGACUGUAUUUGAGAAGCUGGCUAUUUAAGGGAACCCAGAGGUGAAUCCUUUUGUAAAGUAAAGCACCCUUUUGUAAUGCAGUUAAUUAUCCCUUAAUGUAUCUGUUUUGUAAAUCUGAAUUUUUGUAUAUCGGGUUUACCUUAAGCUUCUCUACUGAGGCAUUCUGAGCAGUGGUGGAUCACAUGCCAGAUCGCCCCGCCUGUCCACAAAGUAUUUGACCAAUGCAGGCUCCUCAAACAUCUUUGGAGGAACUAGCUGGCCAAAACACCGGCCAGGAUGCAGCAAGCAGCAGCAGGGGCUGAAGGCAGGCUUACUGCCGUCAACAUUGCUUGAAAUGCCUCUAUGAUCUGAAUGAAAAAAACAUAAUUGCUUGUGGUGAAACGAAGCAGUCUUCAUGUUAAGUAGCAAUGGUUAUUUUUAUCAGUAGUAAUUGAACAGUGUUUUGCAAUUUGUGAAACAGUGUAUUGUGUUUUGUAAAAUGAUGUCAUGAAAUGGUGGGUCCUUGGAAACCUCUUUUCUGUUCAGCUCCACCUCUUGUUCUUUCAACUCCUUUCAGGCUCAAAAAACACACACAAAGAUCAGAAGCCUUCAGAUGGAGGGUGGUAUUCUGGUAAAGAAGAGAUAAGAGAUGCUACCUUGCUGCUUCUCCUCGGCUCCCAUUUCAUGAGAUCAAGAAGACUUCCAUUCUCUACCAAGCUCUGGUGCUGGGAAACCUUGAAUAUGACACAUUGUACCACAUACCCCAACCCUGUUUUCCAAGGGGAAUUUCUGGCACAGGAAGCACAUAGUAAAGCAUGCUCAGGUGAGCUGGAACAGACACAGCUACCUGGUUCAUGUAAAUAAGAAUAAUAAAGGCCCCAGAGUAUAUAUGCUUCCAGGUAGAGGAGAAAGGGGAAUCCCCCAAAACUUAAAAACAAGUUGGAAGAAUAACCAGGACAACCAAGUGAGGCAGCCACAGGGACCCAAGCAGUCGAGGUCUUUAAUGUGCCUGGAGAUGACUCUCCAUCAUUCAUGAAUCUUGCUAUUGCACAAACCCUAUCAGGAGCUGCAGCUUCCCUUCCAGCCAGAGAAGUGGUAAGUGGAGCAAGUGCCGAGCAGAACAGACCUUAUCAUCUGGGUAACAGACUGAGAAGUGUUGGUGCUGUGUCUGUUAGGGCCUUGGAGCAAAUUAAGCACUUCCUUGGUGUGGGUAACGAAUAAAGGGGAAAGCAACUACUUUAGAUCCUCUUUUUCUCCCAACUCAUUUUUGAUAGGAAAACCAGAAAAUCCAACCAUUUCUUCAGAAAUUGCUUUCUAGUCAUUAACACUACUUUACUAUCUAUACUGUUAAGUUAUUCUUUUCUUUACCCACCUACACUACCUAUCUAUUCCAGGAUUCCCUCACUCUUUUUUUAGUUUAGUUACUAAUCAUUUUAUGAAAAUAGUGUACUUACAAGUAUUUUCUUAAGGUUUGUGAAGAGUAUUUGCAUUGUGUCUUCAUUUUAAUGUGUUUGCAAUCGCUCCGCUCCAGGAAGAACGGAAAUGCCGUCUUGUGAGCAUGAAGUGAACAGGCUGUUUUGCUCCAGCCACUUUUCUUGUACAACCACACGGAUGGAUUAGAUAUCCUCAGGUCUUUUCCAUCUUCAGUUUCUAUGAGUAUGGAAUAAAUGUUCAGAAACUUCA
Sapajus apella (tufted capuchin) is the source of this 3421-nucleotide RNA transcript. RefSeq lists it as uncharacterized. Lineage: Eukaryota; Metazoa; Chordata; Mammalia; Primates; Cebidae. The transcript is spliced from 2 exons. The record is from RefSeq and is a predicted model, not a curated record.